Molecule: non-coding RNA, 374 nt
Organism: Parasteatoda tepidariorum (common house spider)
Lineage: Eukaryota; Metazoa; Arthropoda; Arachnida; Araneae; Theridiidae
Source: RefSeq, a predicted model, not a curated record
CCUAUUUCAAAGUUUCAAUAUGAAUUUCAAACUUUUCUUAGCCAUUGUUGUAUUUGCCAUGUUGGGCCUUCUAGCUCCAACAAUGGCCGAUCCACAGUUCGGAAUUUUGGCGGAGAUGGAGAUGAAAAAUGAAAAAAUAAGACAAAAAAUGAAGAAUCAAGGUUAGACUUCCACUGUUGAACUGAACUCUGUACCUUUCAAGCAUCAGUCUGGAUAUUGUUGUUAUAUAAACUCUUGUAGUAAUAUUGGCUUCUUGUUGUUGAAAAAAAAAAUUGCAGAACGAUACCAAAUAAUAUGUUUAUAUUAAAUUUUAAAGCUUAAUAAUUUUAUAAAACUGUGUACUUCACUAUUUAAAUAAAAACUCAAGCGAUAUC